GAUGAACGCUAGCUACAGGCUUAACACAUGCAAGUCGAGGGGAAACGGCAUUGAGUGCUUGCACUCUUUGGACGUCGACCGGCGUACGGGUGAGUAACGCGUAUCCAACCUUCCCAUUACUGUGGGAUAACCUGCCGAAAGGCAGACUAAUACCGCAUAGUCUUCGAUGACGGCAUCAGAUUUGAAGUAAAGAUUUAUCGGUAAUGGAUGGGGAUGCGUCUGAUUAGCUUGUUGGCGGGGUAACGGCCCACCAAGGCGACGAUCAGUAGGGGCUCUGAGAGGAAGGUCCCCCACAUUGGAACUGAGACACGGUCCAAACUCCUACGGGAGGCAGCAGUGAGGAAUAUUGGUCAAUGGACGGAAGUCUGAACCAGCCAAGUAGCGUGCAGGAUGACGGCCCUAUGGGUUGUAAACUGCUUUUGUAUGGGGAUAAAGUUAGGGACGUGUCCCUAUUUGCAGGUACCAUAUGAAUAAGGACCGGCUAAUUCCGUGCCAGCAGCCGCGGUAAUACGGAAGGUUCAGGCGUUAUCCGGAUUUAUUGGGUUUAAAGGGAGCGUAGGCUGGAGAUUAAGUGUGUUGUGAAAUGUAGACGCUCAACGUCUGACUUGCAGCGCAUACUGGUUUCCUUGAGUACGCACAACGCUGGCGGAAUUCGUCGUGUAGCGGUGAAAUGCUUAGAUAUGACGAAGAACUCCAAUUGCGAAGGCAGCUGACGGGAGCGCAACUGACGCUUAAGCUCGAAGGUGCGGGUAUCAAACAGG
Molecule: ribosomal RNA, 761 nt
Filed under: Prevotella melaninogenica
Lineage: Bacteria; Pseudomonadati; Bacteroidota; Bacteroidia; Bacteroidales; Prevotellaceae
Description: bacterial SSU rRNA
Rfam family: Bacterial small subunit ribosomal RNA
Source: RNAcentral